CACGUGGGCAACCUGCCUGUAAGACUGGGAUAACUUCGGGAAACCGGAGCUAAUACCGGAUAAUCCUUUCCCUCUCAUGAGGGAAAGCUGAAAGACGGUUUCGGCUGUCACUUACAGAUGGGCCCGCGGCGCAUUAGCUAGUUGGUGAGGUAACGGCUCACCAAGGCGACGAUGCGUAGCCGACCUGAGAGGGUGAUCGGCCACACUGGGACUGAGACACGGCCCAGACUCCUACGGGAGGCAGCAGUAGGGAAUCUUCCGCAAUGGACGAAAGUCUGACGGAGCAACGCCGCGUGAGCGAUGAAGGCCUUCGGGUCGUAAAGCUCUGUUGUCAGGGAAGAACAAGUACCGGAGUAACUGCCGGUACCUUGACGGUACCUGACCAGAAAGCCACGGCUAACUACGUGCCAGCAGCCGCGGUAAUACGUAGGUGGCAAGCGUUGUCCGGAAUUAUUGGGCGUAAAGCGCGCGCAGGCGGUUCCUUAAGUCUGAUGUGAAAGCCCCCGGCUCAACCGGGGAGGGUCAUUGGAAACUGGGGAACUUGAGUGCAGAAGAGGAGAGCGGAAUUCCACGUGUAGCGGUGAAAUGCGUAGAGAUGUGGAGGAACACCAGUGGCGAAGGCGGCUCUCUGGUCUGUAACUGACGCUGAGGCGCGAAAGCGUGGGGAGCGAACAGGAUUAGAUACCCUGGUAGUCCACGCCGUAAACGAUGAGUGCUAAGUGUUAGAGGGUUUCCGCCCUUUAGUGCUGCAGCAAACGCAUUAAGCACUCCGCCUGGGGAGUACGGCCGCAAGGCUGAAACUCAAAGGAAUUGACGGGGGCCCGCACAAGCGGUGGAGCAUGUGGUUUAAUUCGAAGCAACGCGAAGAACCUUACCAGGUCUUGACAUCCUCUGACAACCCUAGAGAUAGGGCGUUCCCCUUCGGGGGACAGAGUGACAGGUGGUGCAUGGUUGUCGUCAGCUCGUGUCGUGAGAUGUUGGGUUAAGUCCCGCAACGAGCGCAACCCUUGAUCUUAGUUGCCAGCAUUAAGUUGGGCACUCUAAGGUGACUGCCGGUGACAAACCGGAGGAAGGUGGGGAUGACGUCAAAUCAUCAUGCCCCUUAUGACCUGGGCUACACACGUGCUACAAUGGAUGGAACAAAGGGNNGCGAAGCCGCGAGGUGAAGCCAAUCCCAUAAAACCAUUCUCAGUUCGGAUUGCAGGCUGCAACUCGCCUGCAUGAAGCCGGAA
RNAcentral lists this ribosomal RNA (1232 nucleotides) under Bacillus sp. RB 174. Its description in RNAcentral is "bacterial SSU rRNA". It matches the Rfam family "Bacterial small subunit ribosomal RNA", at positions 114 to 1331 of the family's 1533-position model. Lineage: Bacteria; Bacillati; Bacillota; Bacilli; Caryophanales; Bacillaceae. The record is from RNAcentral.